GACGAACGCUGGCGGCGUGCUUAACACAUGCAAGUCGAACGGUGAACUCCGCUUACGGUGCGAUCACGGGCGAACGGUUGAGUAACACGUGGGCAACCUUCGCUCUGUUCUGUUUUAACUCGAAUAAAGUGGGGCUAAUUCCGGUAAUGACCCCUGACCGCUUCGUCUGGAGGCGGAAAGUUUUAGCGGCUGGGGCUGUUCCCUCGGCCGAUCUGCUUUUUGGUAGUGUAGUGGCCUACCAAGGCGACGACGGGUAGCCGGCCUGUGGGGGGGACCGGCCACACGGGGACUGAGAGACGGCCCAGACUCCUACGGGAGGCAGCAGUGGGGAAUAUUGCGCAAUGGGAGAAAGCCUGACGCAGCGACGCCGCGUGGGGGAUGACGGCCUUCGGGUUGUAAACCUCUUUCAGCAGGGACGAAGCGAAAGUGACGGUACCUGCAGAAGAAGCACCGGCUAACUACGUG
RNAcentral lists this ribosomal RNA (465 nucleotides) under uncultured bacterium. Its description in RNAcentral is "partial 16S ribosomal RNA". It matches the Rfam family "Bacterial small subunit ribosomal RNA", at positions 28 to 507 of the family's 1533-position model. The record is from RNAcentral.